AAAAGGGGAGCUUGCAAAGGCUGAGAGUAAACGAUUGCGUUUUGACCCGUAACCUGAUUUGGAUAAUGCCAACGUAGGGAAAUAGUGUUAA
Molecule: non-coding RNA, 91 nt
Filed under: human gut metagenome
Source: RNAcentral